This is a non-coding RNA of Megalobrama amblycephala (Wuchang bream), 518 nucleotides long. NCBI's taxonomy places the organism in Eukaryota, Metazoa, Chordata, Actinopteri, Cypriniformes, Xenocyprididae. The record is from the annotation of a RefSeq genome assembly.
UGUAACUCAGUGUCAGUUUUAGUGCAGGAGGUUUUUGUACAGUUGCUGAUUGGGUUUGUAUCACUGUGGAACACGUUCGGUGGAGGAACUCGACUCUCAGUUGGAACUGCCGCUCGUCCCACUCUCACGGUCCUGCCGCCCUCCAGAGAGGAGCUGCAGCAGGGUAAGGCUACAGUGGUGUGUGUGGGCAGUAAGGGAUUCCCCUCUGACUGGAAGCUGAGCUGGAAGGUGGAUGGCAGCAGCAGGAGCUCUGCUGUGAAUCUGAGUCCCAGUGUGCUGCAGAAGGAUGGACUGUACAGCUGGAGCAGCAGCCUGAGCCUCACUGAGAGUGAGUGGAGCAGAGCAACAACCAUCAGCUGUGACGCCACGCACCCAUCCCAGAAUGCAGUGACCGAGAGCCUGAAAACACAGCAGUGUGAUGACCAGUGAAACACACACACACACAUCACACAGAGAUUAUAGACAUGCAUAUUUCAUUUACACUCACACAUAUGCAGCUAUUUCAAAGGACUGUCCUA